GCCACUGUGGCGCAACGGUAGCGCAUCGGUUUUGUAAACCGCGGGUUGCAGGUUCGAAUCCUGUCAGUGGCUCCA
Molecule: transfer RNA, 75 nt
Filed under: Slackia piriformis
Lineage: Bacteria; Bacillati; Actinomycetota; Coriobacteriia; Eggerthellales; Eggerthellaceae
Also listed under: 2 other names
Description: tRNA-Thr
Rfam family: tRNA
About the family: Transfer RNA (tRNA) molecules are approximately 80 nucleotides in length. Their secondary structure includes four short double-helical elements and three loops (D, anti-codon, and T loops).
Source: RNAcentral